This 385-nucleotide ribosomal RNA is filed under the name uncultured bacterium. RNAcentral describes it as "bacterial SSU rRNA". It matches the Rfam family "Bacterial small subunit ribosomal RNA", at positions 30 to 417 of the family's 1533-position model. The record is from RNAcentral.
AUUGAACGCUGGCGGCAUGCUUUACACAUGCAAGUCGAACGGUAACGCGGGGGCAACCCUGGCGACGAGUGGCGAACGGGUGAGUAAUACAUCGGAACGUACCCAGUUGUGGGGGAUAGCUCGGCGAAAGCCGGAUUAAUACCGCAUACGACCUACGGGUGAAAGCGGGGCUCGCAAGACCUCGCGCUAUUGGAGCGGCCGAUGGCAGAUUAGCUUGUUGGUGAGGUAAGAGCUACCAAGGCGACGAUCUGUAGCUGGUCUGAGAGGACGACCAGCCACACUGGGACUGAGACACGGCCCAGACUCCUACGGGAGGCAGCAGUGGGGAAUUUUGGACAAUGGGCGAAAGCCUGAUCCAGCAAUGCCGCGUGUGUGAUGAAGGCCU